CUCCGGGCCCCGUGCAAUGAAAUCCCAUGAACCCGGUCAGGUCCGAGAGGAAGCAGCCGUAAGUGGCCCUUUUCAUGUGACACGGUGCAUCCUGGAGGCU
Molecule: non-coding RNA, 100 nt
Organism: Dialister succinatiphilus YIT 11850
Lineage: Bacteria; Bacillati; Bacillota; Negativicutes; Veillonellales; Veillonellaceae
Rfam family: Bacterial small signal recognition particle RNA
About the family: The signal recognition particle (SRP) is a universally conserved ribonucleoprotein involved in the co-translational targeting of proteins to membranes. Archaeal SRP consists of a 7S RNA and homologues of the eukaryotic SRP19 and SRP54 proteins.
Source: Rfam